AAAUGACGCAAGUACGAACUUGUUAGGUUUAUGACAGUAUAAUUGAGUUCAAAAAUUUGUAAGGGUUCCACGGAACCCAGUGUCUCGCCUACUUCUGCUGUUAAUGGCAGACUCAACAAAAAUGAGGAAAAACAUCAAUAAAAAUUUCCCUCUCGAUACUGUCUUUUGAUUGAAAGAAGCUUCCAAGUUUGGUAAAAAAUUCAGGAUAGUUUAUGAAUCUAAUAAAUGUUUUAUAAACUUUAACUGCAGACUGUAUGUAAUGUUAACUGGAAGAAAAAACUAAGUCCAUUUAUAAGUAAAAUACGGAAAAAGUGAAUUUUUUUUUUACAAAUUUAGCUUCUGAAUAAUAUCUUAUGAUCAGAAACAAGCU
RNAcentral lists this long non-coding RNA (370 nucleotides) under Mytilus galloprovincialis (Mediterranean mussel). The record is from RNAcentral. Lineage: Eukaryota; Metazoa; Mollusca; Bivalvia; Mytilida; Mytilidae.